UACCCGCAGCUCAAGUGGUGGUCAUUAUUAUUGGGCCUAAAGCGUCCGUAGCUGGCUUGUUAGAUGCCUGGGUAAAUCGAUGCGCUUAACGUAUCGAAUUCCGGGUAGACCGGCAAGCUCGAGACCGGGAGAGGCGUGAGCUACUCGAGGGGUAGGGGUAAAAUCCUGUAAUCCUUCGGGGAGGACCAGUGGCGAAGGCGUCACGCUAGAACGGCUCUGACAGUGAGGGACGAAGCCCUGGGGCGCAAACCGG
This 253-nucleotide ribosomal RNA is filed under the name uncultured bacterium. Its description in RNAcentral is "partial 16S ribosomal RNA". It matches the Rfam family "Archaeal small subunit ribosomal RNA", at positions 474 to 727 of the family's 1478-position model. The record is from RNAcentral.